CUGUAGGCUGCAACUCGCCUACACGAAGUUGGAAUUGCUAGUAAUCGUGGAUCAGCAUGCCACGGUGAAUACGUUCCCGGGUCUUGUACACACCGCCCGUCACACCAUGGGAGCUGGUAACACCCGAAGUCAGUAGUCUAACCGCAAGGAGGACGCUGCCGAAGGUGGGAUUAGCGACUGGGGUGAAGUCGUAACAAGGUAAC
This 203-nucleotide ribosomal RNA is filed under the name uncultured bacterium. RNAcentral's name for it is "partial 16S ribosomal RNA". It matches the Rfam family "Bacterial small subunit ribosomal RNA", at positions 1298 to 1500 of the family's 1533-position model. The record is from RNAcentral.